This 505-nucleotide long non-coding RNA is filed under the name Hordeum vulgare. Its description in RNAcentral is "long non-coding RNA (HVUL_LNC015958)". Lineage: Eukaryota; Viridiplantae; Streptophyta; Magnoliopsida; Poales; Poaceae. The record is from RNAcentral.
UGCAUGUAGUAUUAUACCACCCUAUGAAAGUUAUGCAUGUAUAGGAAUAUUAUUAUUGCUAUGCUGUUGAGCUAUAUCCCUCGUCAUUGAAGAUCGUGGUAUUUGUAAUUUUGCUAUGCUAUGUAGACGGGGAUUGGUUCCUGUAUUCAUUGAGAUUAUGUGAGUAUUACUACAAAAUAAAUUGAGUAGUAAUUAAGGAUUUAAUUCACCUCUGGGCGGAUAUGGUAUUGCUGGGUGGUUUCAAGAACAUCAUGGUAUCUACCCUCUGAACGUAAGUGGAUGCCGCCCAGGUUCAAAAAGAUCAAACAGACUUAGUAACUAGUAGCUUCCUUGUGCGACCACUAGCUAUUAUGGGCUCUGGCUUAGUUGAUCAGUCGUGGAAACCUUACCCGGAUGUGCCAGCUGAUGUAGCUAUGAUAGGUGGGAUGGGCCUCCUGUGGGACUAGGUGACUGCUUCUGAAAGACUUCGUCUCAAUCUUCGGGUUGGGUCCAGUGGGUACAGCGU